Molecule: long non-coding RNA, 312 nt
Filed under: Homo sapiens (human)
Lineage: Eukaryota; Metazoa; Chordata; Mammalia; Primates; Hominidae
Description: non-protein coding lnc-AMER3-1:1
Source: RNAcentral
AGGAGUAACGUAGUAAAAGGCAAGAAGAUUUUGUUCACAAGGGUACCCAGUGCCACACUGUGGAAAAAAGAGGCAAGCACAGACUGGGCCAGAACUCCAUGGGCUCUGGGCAGCAGCCAGGUCAGGCCAUUGGAUCCCCUUACACAGACGCCAACAGAACACAGCAUCACCUGGGGAGAGGAGACACCGGUGGAGUAUUUGAAGAAUCCAGAGAAUUACAUCCUUGGAACAAAAACAGUCUUCACUGGCAUUAACAAGAAGGUAGAAAGAACAGACUUGAUAACUUAUCUCAAAAAAGCCACUAAUGAGUAA